CGUAGGGGCCAAGCGUUGUUCGGAGUUUACUGGGCGUAAAGGGCGCGUAGGCGGCGAAUCAAGUCAGCUGUGAAAUCUCCGAGCUUAACUCGGAACGGCCAGCUGAUACUGUUUUGCUAGAGUGCAGAAAGGGCAACCGGAAUUCUUGGUGUAGCGGUGAAAUGCGUAGAUAUCAAGAGGAACACCUGAGGCGAAGGCGGGUUGCUAGGCUGACACUGACGCUGAAGCGCGAAAGCUAGGGUAGCAAACGGGAUUAGAUACCCCGGUAGUCCUAGCCCUAAACGAUGUAUGCUUGGUGUCUGGAGUUUUUAUCUCUGGGUGCCGUCGCUAACGCUUUUAGCAUACCGCCUGGGGAGUACGCACGCAAGUGUG
RNAcentral lists this ribosomal RNA (372 nucleotides) under uncultured organism. Its description in RNAcentral is "bacterial SSU rRNA". It matches the Rfam family "Bacterial small subunit ribosomal RNA", at positions 526 to 896 of the family's 1533-position model. The record is from RNAcentral.